RNAcentral lists this long non-coding RNA (3170 nucleotides) under Stylophora pistillata. RNAcentral describes it as "uncharacterized LOC111331796". The record is from RNAcentral. Lineage: Eukaryota; Metazoa; Cnidaria; Anthozoa; Scleractinia; Pocilloporidae.
AGUAAACAAACUGAAAUUGUUAUAACAUGUUGUCACUAGCCACUUGACUUGUAGGUUGAAAAGUUAGUGUUGAGCCCAGAGUUAAAAGCAAGAUGCUGCAGUAGAACUUGAUACCAAAAUAAUGAGUCCAAAGAAUAAGGAAAAAUUAAGAGUAAGAAAUGUAACACAGAUACUGUACAAAGUUUAAUUUGCGAGUUUCAUGAUAUUUUUUUUAAAGGUCCUUUCUAAUUUUGCACUUGUUGUGAUCAGUUGCUAAUUUAUAGACACAGUGUCUGUCUUGCUGAAUCAGUUAUUGUCCCCAGAAAUAACCAAGUAUUUACUGAACAAAACUAGCAUUUAGGAUAUUUAGGAUUGCUGUGUCUAACAUGUUACAGCUACUUUAAAAAAGUUAACUUCCCCCAUCUGCAGCAAUAAAUGGAUUACAAUUUCCAGAAAAUCCAUAAUUUUUUUAACUUAAACAAGUUAGAAUAUAGAUUGUUAGCACCAAGGCUUGUGUUUCAGAAGGUGAUGCAGGCACUGAGAGGAAAACAGCUGAAAAUCAGUUGAAAUAUUGUCAGUGAAACUACAGAUGUUAAUAAUACUGUAAACAUGUUAUCCAGGUUACCAAAUGAAAUGAGCUUAAUUAAAGUGAAGUAAAAGAAGUCUAUAGUAUAGAGCUCUGCCUUGUCUUUGAAAGUAAGACCUCAUUUGUUUAUUCAAGCAUCCAAAUAGCCUAAAGAUAAUAGCAUUUUAUAUAAAAGAGAGAGAAUGACACUAAGUCAGAGUGGUACCAUAACUCUUUGCAUGAAACUGAUACUGAACAAGAUCAAGGAGAUUCUGAUGAUGAUGCUAGUUUAUUCACAAACAGAAAUGAAAAUUUAAUAGAAAGUGAAGGUGAAAAUGAAGAUGACUGGAGUAAAGAUGAUGUAGAAAUACCUUAAGGAGUUUCGAAUACUUUUUUAACAGCUUCUGAUUUCUGGAUUACACAGAUCUUAAAAAUAUUUUAAAUGUUGCUCCUCAUGGAGAAGGUAAUACACCUCUUAGUAUAGUAAGGAUGCACAUUAUGAAGAAUUGGCGUAUCCAGGGAUAUUUCUAGGACAACCACAAAGUGAUAAUAAAAAGCAAAUUAUUGGUUAGUAUGUACUAUAGUGACAUUUGUAAAUCAGAAUUGUGAUCAUCAGAUCAAAGGACUGCUAGAUGUGUUGAAGAUAUAUUCUUCAAAACGAAAAAGUUGUAGAUGAAGAUUCUAUUAGGAAAGGCCUAAAUUGCUCCUAGGAAAUGUAUGCUCAAUAACAAAAAUCUAACUGCUGGAAAAUUGAAGCAACAGCUGGGUUCACUUGUUGAGGUAUGAAACAAUGCUUAAUCUGAUCUUUUAUUUGACAUUGAAGAAUUCAAGUUCAUGCAUGCACUCAAAACCCUCUAGGAUCUCUGAAAAUUUCAGAAAUGCAUUUGAGAAAUGUUAACAUAAUGGACUUAAAACCUAAAAUGUUUUCAUGAAAACCUGUAGAUCUUUUGUGUGGUAUGCAGGAAGGUUUCACUAUUUUUCACUGUCUGCUUUUAUUGGAGAGCUGAUAGAGAACCAAGCCAGCAUUCUAAGGUAUGUAGCUUCCACUUCAGAGAUGGAUUAAAAUCGGCGAGACCUGAAGUUUUUUGAGCGAAAUGCUCACAAACUGUUUCCUGCACAGGGAAAUCCUACUAAAAAAAAAAAGGAAACUUGAUUCAAAGCCUGGUGUAUCUGCAUUCUGUGACUUGGCAACUACUGAGGGAGAAAAAAUGACAGAGCAAAUGCAAAUGAGAGCAACUCCACUGAUCUAGUAAUACUGGAGGCUGAACUGGAGUUGACUCAACAAGAGCUAUAUUCUCAUCAAGAGACUAAGCAGUAUUAGAGGACACACUAUUCUGUUUCAAGUUUGAGUUCAGAAGUCAUUAGAGUGGAAACAGGGCUCCCUACCAAGGAGGUGUUUACCAUUUUAGUGGAAUAUACAGCUCAGUUUAAGGAAUCAAUUUCUUACUAUGCUGGGUGGAAAGUCAAGUCAAUGGUAUUUGACAAUCAAAUCUUUCUAACACUUAUGAAGUUGUGUCAAACUACACCAAUCUGCACCUGGCUCAACUAUUUUCUUGUAGCAGCAUUGCAACAAUUUCUAACAUUGCCACAACAUUCAUACAUGUCCUCCAUGGUCUGCUUUUUGAUGAUUUAAUGAAAACAAUCCCUUCAAGAAGCAAAGACAAGUUGUGUUCACCAUCAUCAUUUUCCGCCUACUCAAGUUGCAGAAUUAUCAUUGACUGUACUGACAUCAAAGUAGCAACACCCAGCCUUAUGUGUCAGCAAAAUGCAACCUACUCAAGUUACCAAGGGAUGAACUCAUUUAAAGUUUCAACAGGAGUAGCACCAAAUGGAGUACUGACCUAUGUUAGCAAUCUCUACCAUGUUUCAAUCUCUGGCAGAAGUAUCUUCUUCUCAGGCCCCCUCAAUUGUUAAGUUUCUUUGGGUGUGUGGGCACUUUGCCCCCAAAACACUGUCAUCUUCCACCAGGCGGUCUGGAGAAGCUCCAGGGAGUCCCGACUCGUCUAGCCAAACCCCAGUCUCCACCACCCGCAGGCCAGUUUUUGAUGUGAGUGCUUUCAGGGCUUCUGGCUCAUUUGUAACCCCACUGUACAGCUUUCACUCGUAAUAAGUCAUAGUCACCAAGAAGCCGUUUGAGAAGAGAGGGUGUGUCACGUUGCUGUACAAAGAACACUUUAGAACAUUAUAUUACUUUCUGUUUUCUUAAAAUGUAGCCUUGUUUCGUUUUGAUCAAGUUGCGUGAUUAUAAAUAUCCAUUUUGGCUAGCCGCACAAAGAGUUGUUUCAGUUUAGUUUCCUUUACGUCAUAGAAAUAUAUUAGGCCUUUUUUUACGCGAACGUUUUAGUUUUAAGGAGUUGUCCCUGGAGCAAAGAGGAGUUUUAUAGGAGUCUUUCGGAGUUUUUUCACAGCUUGGAGUUUUCUUAUGCCCGGAGUCAAGAUCAGACGUAAGUCACGAUCGUUAAGUUUCUAUUAGUUUUUAGUUGUGUUUCCUGUCUUCAGAUUUGCAAUUUAGCUCGUUUCCCUUACGUAAACAAAUCGUGCUUUCCUUUUAGUUUUCACCGCAAGUGUUGUAACAAGUCGGCUAGCCUGUUUACAUGAUUUAGUCCAAUAAACGUGUGUAAGAGUC